GAUGAACGCUGGCGGCGUGCCUAAUACAUGCAAGUCGAGCGAACGGACGAGAAGCUUGCUUCUCUGAUGUUAGCGGCGGACGGGUGAGUAACACGUGGAUAACCUACCUAUAAGACUGGGAUAACUUCGGGAAACCGGAGCUAAUACCGGAUAAUAUUUUGAACCGCAUGGUUCAAAAGUGAAAGACGGUCUUGCUGUCACUUAUAGAUGGAUCCGCGCUGCAUUAGCUAGUUGGUAAGGUAACGGCUUACCAAGGCAACGAUGCAUAGCCGACCUGAGAGGGUGAUCGGCCACACUGGAACUGAGACACGGUCCAGACUCCUACGGGAGGCAGCAGUAGGGAAUCUUCCGCAAUGGGCGAAAGCCUGACGGAGCAACGUCGCGUGAGUGAUGAAGGUCUUCGGAUCGUAAAACUCUGUUAUUAGGGAAGAACUUAUGUGUAAGUAACUGUGCACAUCUUGACGGUACCUAAUCAGAAAGCCACGGCUAACUACGUG
Molecule: ribosomal RNA, 497 nt
Filed under: uncultured bacterium
Lineage: Bacteria
Description: partial 16S ribosomal RNA
Rfam family: Bacterial small subunit ribosomal RNA
Source: RNAcentral